CACGUAGGGCGCAAGCGUUGUCCGGAAUUAUUGGGCGUAAAGAGCUCGUAGGCGGUCUGUUACGUCUGCUGUGAAAACCCUGGGCUUAACCCUGGGCUUGCAGUGGAUACGGGCAGACUAGAGGCAGGUAGGGGAGAAUGGAAUUCCCGGUGUAGCGGUGAAAUGCGCAGAUAUCGGGAGGAACACCGGUGGCGAAGGCGGUUCUCUGGGCAGUAACUGACGCUGAGGAGCGAAAGCGUGGGGAGCGAACAGG
Molecule: ribosomal RNA, 253 nt
Filed under: uncultured bacterium
Lineage: Bacteria
Description: partial 16S ribosomal RNA
Rfam family: Bacterial small subunit ribosomal RNA
Source: RNAcentral